GCCUGAUCAUGUGAUUGUGACAUCAUCACAGGUCCUUUACCCCCCCUGAGCUCUGCCAUCUCCAGUAUUCAGGCCACGAGGUCCAAGCGGGCAGAGAGGUCCAGAGAUUUCUUCGGAAUACCCACUAAGUAUAAGCGCUGCCGACGGUAUUUUUUGACCGCUGACGAAGUUCUGUUUCCUCCACUAAUCAACUAUUGGAUCCGUCAUAGGACAUUUUCUAAUCAGAGCCAUGCCUAGCUGUCUGGUAAACCAGUGUAUUAGCAAAACUGGAAGAAAGGGCCAGAACGGACAGGUAAUUUUGCACGCCUUUCCAAAGGACCUCGACAGAAUAAAAAUAUGGCUGCUACAGACCGGUCAAGUCUUCAAGGAUCUAAAUGGUUUGGCUGAAAAGAUACUCAAUAGAAACAGAAGCAACCAAUACCGCCUGUGUUCGUGCCACUUCGCGCCAGAUUCGUACAUCGUCAACUUCUGCGGAAGAACGCUGCGAGUCGAUGCCGUGCCUUCUAUUUUUCCAAUUGUCAGCGAAGGAGAAACGAUUAUUGAAGAAAAUUUGAAAAAAGAUCGGGCAAGAAAACGGAAGAUACUUUUUGACCCUGUGGUCACUCCAAUCGGUCCAAUCAUUGUUAAUCAAAUUACUAAACCUGAACCAGAAGAAGAAGAAGAAGAAGAAGAAGAGGAAGAUGAAGAAACGUGUGACAUAGAACUGCCAAAAAAUGGAUUUUGCAGUGUCGGAACGCAGACGGAUCACACACUUUCUAAUUCAAUUGUUGUCUUUGAGGAUCUGAUGAUGUAGAUGGACCCUUCACCUCAUGAAGGUCUUCUCCUGUAGAGGCAACGUUUACUUGUAGUCCAUCGACAAGCAAAGACUUUGCAUCUCCUCUGAACGUCUGAACAAAGACCUCGCCGUAUUUUCUCACACAUCUUUUUAUUUUUAUUUUAUUUUUUAUUAACAGGGUAACACCACUACUGCCGACCCUGUGCUGGUCCGAAUUAAAAGUACCUUAGAGGAAGACGUAAACCACUCAGACUCUCUUCCACAACAUUUUCGGGUUCAGUUCUGUUUUCUGCGCCUCCACCUGUAACUUUUCUUCCCAAAAAAUGGGGAAAACUUGUAAUUUUUUUAUCUUGUUUGGACAAUCUAUUAAACCUAAAAUGUCGACAUAACAAGGA
Long non-coding RNA from Bufo gargarizans (Asiatic toad), 1170 nucleotides. RefSeq lists it as uncharacterized. The record is from RefSeq and is a predicted model, not a curated record. The transcript has 4 exons. Lineage: Eukaryota; Metazoa; Chordata; Amphibia; Anura; Bufonidae.